ACUUAGAUAGCUUAAAAAUUAGAGCAUGACACUGAAGAUGUUAGGGUGAUAUCGUAUAUCUUUAAGUA
Molecule: transfer RNA, 68 nt
Filed under: Tabanus autumnalis
Lineage: Eukaryota; Metazoa; Arthropoda; Insecta; Diptera; Tabanidae
Description: tRNA-Phe
Rfam family: tRNA
About the family: Transfer RNA (tRNA) molecules are approximately 80 nucleotides in length. Their secondary structure includes four short double-helical elements and three loops (D, anti-codon, and T loops). Further hydrogen bonds mediate the characteristic L-shaped molecular structure. tRNAs have two regions of fundamental functional importance: the anti-codon, which is responsible for specific mRNA codon recognition, and the 3' end, to which the tRNAs corresponding amino acid is attached (by aminoacyl-tRNA synthetases). tRNAs cope with the degeneracy of the genetic code in two manners: having more than one tRNA (with a specific anti-codon) for a particular amino acid; and 'wobble' base-pairing, i.e. permitting non-standard base-pairing at the 3rd anti-codon position.
Source: RNAcentral